UAGGGAAUUUUCGGCAAUGGGCGAAAGCCUGACCGAGCAACGCCGCGUGAGGGAGGAAGUACUUCGGUAUGUAAACCUCUGUUAUAAAGGAAGAACGGAUGGUGCAGGGAAUGGCAUCAUAGUGACGGUACUUUAUGAGGAAGCCACGGCUAACUACGUGCC
This 162-nucleotide ribosomal RNA is filed under the name uncultured bacterium. RNAcentral describes it as "partial 16S ribosomal RNA". It matches the Rfam family "Bacterial small subunit ribosomal RNA", at positions 355 to 509 of the family's 1533-position model. The record is from RNAcentral.